GCCACCUGCCCUGCCUGGUGUCCUCUGCUCAGGGCUCACAGCUGCAUCCUCCCCACCCCCUGGGAGCACACAACCCCACCCCGGCCACCCCCUGACAUCCUCAGGCAUAGGGACCUGACCCAGGGCCCAGGGUGGGGUUAGAAAGCUGGGGGUCUGAUUUGCAUGGAUGGACCCUCCCACUCUCAGAGUAUGAAGAGGGGCAGGGAGAGGUUUGGGGAAGCUCUGCUUCAGCUGUGGGCACAGGAGGCAGCACUCGGGACAGUCUCCAGCAUGGCCUGGUCUCUCCUUCUCACUCUGCUGGUUCACUGCACAGGGUCCUGGGCCCAGUCUGUGCUGACGCAGCCGCCCUCAGUGUCUGGGGCGCCCGGACAGAGGGUCACCAUCUCCUGCACUGGGAGCAGCUCCAACAUUGGGGGUUAUUAUGUAUCCUGGUACCAGCAGCUCCCAGGAACGGCCCCCAAACUCCUCAUCUAUGGAAAUAAUAAGCGACCCUCAGGGGUUUCUGACCGAUUCUCUGGCUCCCAGUCUGGUACCUCAGCCUCCCUGGCCAUCACCGGACUCCAGUCUGAGGAUGAGGCUGAUUAUUACUGCCAGUCCUAUGACAGCAGCCUGAGUGCUCACACGGUGCUCCAGGCCCGGGGGAAUCUGAGACAAGAACCCCCUUCCUCCUCUACCAGGAGGGGUGGCAGGGGUAGCCCCAUCUCAGUCAACAUCUGUGACUACUGCUGUGGGUCUGGUGGAGUGGCCCCUGGCGUCUGA
This is a non-coding RNA of Cercocebus atys (sooty mangabey), 759 nucleotides long. The record is from the annotation of a RefSeq genome assembly. NCBI's taxonomy places the organism in Eukaryota, Metazoa, Chordata, Mammalia, Primates, Cercopithecidae.